RNAcentral lists this transfer RNA (86 nucleotides) under Saccharothrix coeruleofusca. RNAcentral describes it as "tRNA-Arg". The record is from RNAcentral. Lineage: Bacteria; Bacillati; Actinomycetota; Actinomycetes; Pseudonocardiales; Pseudonocardiaceae.
CGCCGCCGUGGAGGACCUGGGCUUCCCGCGCGUGUCCUGCGACGACGCGGUGGCCGUCGAGCAGGCGUUCGGGCACCUGGUGGCGC